GGUGUCGUAGCCAAGUGGUAAAGGCGCUGCAUCUGAACCUGCCUUAGGUAGGUUUAUCGUGAAUGUUGCAGUGGAGUAAUCCUCGUGGGUUCGAAUCCCACCGAUACCA
Hypoxylon sp. CI-4A is the source of this 109-nucleotide non-coding RNA. The record is from the annotation of a GenBank genome assembly. NCBI's taxonomy places the organism in Eukaryota, Fungi, Ascomycota, Sordariomycetes, Xylariales, Hypoxylaceae.